This 105-nucleotide small nuclear RNA is filed under the name Medicago truncatula (barrel medic). RNAcentral describes it as "sRNA gene12691". The stretch from base 9 to 58 matches the Rfam family "U5 spliceosomal RNA", at positions 14 to 63 of the family's 117-position model. Lineage: Eukaryota; Viridiplantae; Streptophyta; Magnoliopsida; Fabales; Fabaceae. The record is from RNAcentral.
AUAUGAUGAGCACAAAGUGAACUAUUCUUUCGCCUUUUACUAAAGAAUACCGUGUGCUAUGAUAUAGUUGUUCAUGGAUCUAAAAUGAAAACAGAUAGAUGUUUA